Molecule: small nuclear RNA, 107 nt
Organism: Hippopotamus amphibius kiboko
Lineage: Eukaryota; Metazoa; Chordata; Mammalia; Artiodactyla; Hippopotamidae
Source: RefSeq, a predicted model, not a curated record
GUGCUCACUUCAGCAGCAUAUAUACUAAAAUUAGAACAACACAGAGAAGAUUAGCUUGGCCCCUGCACAAGGAUGACAUACAAAUGCAUGAAGCAUUCCGUAUUUUA